Orbicella faveolata is the source of this 456-nucleotide long non-coding RNA. Lineage: Eukaryota; Metazoa; Cnidaria; Anthozoa; Scleractinia; Merulinidae. The record is from RefSeq and is a predicted model, not a curated record.
UACUUGCCUGCUUGUGUGCUUGCUUGCUUAUUCAUUAAUUUACUAUUGACAGGGAGAGGACAGAAAGGUUUACUAUCUGUCACGACUUGGGAAGGUUCCAACCUACUUGUGCCUUUUGUUUAUCCUGGUGAGGUUUGCUGUCCUGCUCUACUUUGAAGUUCGAAAGAAAUGGUUCCCUUUUGCAAGUGGGAGGAGAAGUGGUGGUGGAACCUCUGAUAUUCGUUUGGCUAGAGAGCCAGAGAUAGCCCACAUCAAGGAGCUGUUAAAUCCAGGAUCAAUCCUGGAUUUUUGGGAGAUGAAAUGGUAUCCAAAGCUGCUGUACCCAAUAUACAAACCAAGAAAAGACUUCUUAUUCUCGACCCAGCUCAUCUCAACCAUGUUGGUGUGUGCUAUUACGGUCUUCCAGCUUCUCGUGGCCUUCCUAGCCUCCUUUGAUGUUCGGAGGAGGAAUGAUAU